UACGAGUGCCCCAAGCGUUAUCCGGAAUCAUUGGGCGUAAAGGGUGUGUAGGCGGUUGUGUUAGUCUCCUGUCAAAUUUCCCGGCUUAACCGGGAACCUGCAGGGGAAACGGCACAACUAGAGGAUGCGAGGGGUGAAUGGAACUCAUGGAGUAGGGGUGAAAUCCGUUGAUAUCAUGGGGAACACCGAAAGCGAAGGCAAUUCACUGGCGCAUUCCUGACGCUGAGACACGAAAGCGUGGGUAGCGAACGGG
RNAcentral lists this unclassified non-coding RNA (253 nucleotides) under uncultured Parcubacteria group bacterium. Its description in RNAcentral is "contains 16S-23S intergenic spacer region". It matches the Rfam family "Bacterial small subunit ribosomal RNA", at positions 524 to 776 of the family's 1533-position model. The record is from RNAcentral.